GAAACGCGAUAGUUAAUGUGAAUUGCAGAAUUUAGUGAAUCAUCGAGUCUUUGAACGCACAUUGCGCCCAUUAGUAUUCUAGUAGGCAUGCCUGUUCGAGCGUCAUUUCAACCCUCAAGCCCUGGUUGCUUGGUGUUGGGAGCUUGCUGUGAAACGCAACUCCUCAAAGCUAGCUGGCAGAGUCGGGAUGCACUCUAAGCGUAGUAAACUUGAUAGUCUCGCUUCUGCAGUUGUCCCGGCCGUCUUGCCAUAAAAGCCCAAACUUUUUUGUUUUCUAUGGUUGACCUCGGAUCAGGUAGGAAUACCCGCUGAACUUAAGC
This 320-nucleotide unclassified non-coding RNA is filed under the name plant metagenome. Its description in RNAcentral is "partial contains 5.8S ribosomal RNA, internal transcribed spacer 2, and large subunit ribosomal RNA". The stretch from base 1 to 105 matches the Rfam family "5.8S ribosomal RNA", at positions 50 to 154 of the family's 154-position model. The record is from RNAcentral.